RNAcentral lists this ribosomal RNA (292 nucleotides) under uncultured bacterium. RNAcentral describes it as "partial 16S ribosomal RNA". It matches the Rfam family "Bacterial small subunit ribosomal RNA", at positions 505 to 796 of the family's 1533-position model. The record is from RNAcentral.
GUGCCAGCAGCCGCGGUAAUACGGAGGGUGCAAGCGUUACUCGGAAUUACUGGGCGUAAAGAGCGUGUAGGCGGGUUAAUAAGCCAGAUGUGAAAGCCUGUGGCUCAACCAUAGAACUGCAUUUGAAACUGUUAACCUAGAAUAUGGGAGAGGUAGAUGGAAUUUCUGGUGUAGGGGUAAAAUCCGUAGAGAUCAGAAGGAAUACCGAUUGCGAAGGCGAUCUACUGGAACAUUAUUGACGCUGAGACGCGAAAGCGUGGGGAGCAAACAGGAUUAGAUACCCUAGUAGUCC